Molecule: non-coding RNA, 235 nt
Organism: Archaeoglobus fulgidus DSM 4304
Lineage: Archaea; Methanobacteriati; Methanobacteriota; Archaeoglobi; Archaeoglobales; Archaeoglobaceae
Rfam family: Archaeal RNase P
About the family: Ribonuclease P (RNase P) is a ubiquitous endoribonuclease, found in archaea, bacteria and eukarya as well as chloroplasts and mitochondria. Its best characterised activity is the generation of mature 5'-ends of tRNAs by cleaving the 5'-leader elements of precursor-tRNAs. Cellular RNase Ps are ribonucleoproteins.
Source: Rfam
GAGCGGCGGUGGGCGGCUGACCGAAAGGAGGAAAGUCCCCCCACCCGCUGUGGCGGAAGGCCCCUGAGAAGGGGCGGAGGAGGAACAGAAACGAGACCGGUGCGGGGAAAUGCGAUGAUUCCGCAAGGAUGAGGUCACCCGCUCCGGAUGAAACGGCCUCCUCCCCGCCGGGUGCAACGCGUAAGCGGCUCAGUCUAAUGCCGCCGGAACAGAAGGGGGCUUACUACCGCCACUC